GCUGGCUUGCUUUGCUGGUGAGAGGACCAAAGCAUCAGUAGUGCUGGUCUGAACCACCAUGUUGCCUGUUCUUUGUGAUCCUCAUAGUGUUCUGCAACAAAUCAUCUCCAAGGGUCCACUGCUUCACAUUUACACCUGCAGAGCAGGCUGCUUCUCCUCAGCCUGGCCAGUGCCCCGGUGCUCCUGCUGGGUGGAGUCCCAGGGCCUCCGUGGAAGGACUCCAUCCACACUUUGAGAGACGCGUCCCCUCCACCUUCUCUGGACCCUCAGGCUCCCUC
RNAcentral lists this long non-coding RNA (278 nucleotides) under Ictidomys tridecemlineatus (thirteen-lined ground squirrel). Its description in RNAcentral is "lncRNA (ENSSTOG00000033248.1)". The record is from RNAcentral. Lineage: Eukaryota; Metazoa; Chordata; Mammalia; Rodentia; Sciuridae.